This is a long non-coding RNA of Mya arenaria, 3374 nucleotides long. RefSeq lists it as uncharacterized. The transcript is spliced from 7 exons. The record is from RefSeq and is a predicted model, not a curated record. Lineage: Eukaryota; Metazoa; Mollusca; Bivalvia; Myida; Myidae.
UCUAGGCAUUAUGGGGACCGCUGGAUUAAGGCGACAAAAAUUGGUCUCCUUAAUAUUUUCAGUCCAGAUUUGAUGUAUCAAAUGUCAAUAAAAAUGUCCAUUGACAGUAAGUUGAUAAGCUUGAAUGUUUAUUUACGAGAUCAUUUCAUUGUUUUAAAUCUUAUUAUCUUUUAAUAUUAAAAAAAAUAUUCUUAAACUUUUGUGUGUGUAUAUUUGUGUAUCCAUAAAAAUAGCUAUUAAGGCGACCAGGGAAAAAAUCAUAAUUUUGGUCAAAAAUAGCUAUAUACUAAGCAUUUUUUAUUUGUUUUACUUUAUUUAAAGCCUAUUGUAUAAUAUCCCGAAGUUUCAUUCCAUAAAAUACAGAAAUAAGGAAAUUCGAUAUUUCGUGUACCAUCAACAUCCAAAUUUUCAAGUAUACAGAAAUUUAACUUUCCGGAAUAUAACGGAAAUUUUCGGGUAUCUCCGUGGUACCAUCUCCGUGCAAUUAUGCAGUAUGGCGUUCAUCUCUUACGGAAAGAGAAUGGUAACUUGGUAAGUGUUUAAAAUACAUAUUCAACGUUUUUUCGUUUAUUUUUAUGACUUUUGUACAGUAGUAUAAAUCGUCCACCCUUUGGAUGAAAAGCAAAUGAUUUAUCCGGAUUUUGUUCAUCCGAAACUAAAUCACUAGUAUCAACAUCCGGUGUAAUUUUUGCUUGUAUUUUGGAGAAACUCGAUUGAUUUCUAACAAACUUGGUUUACCACUACAUCGUCGCUUAUUAUUAUUUGUUGCUGCUUGGGACAAUAAAGUUAAGUCAGCAACCGUCUACCAGACUGCAAGAUUCAUCUCUUCCAAAGGAUGUCGUACCUUUCCAGAUACACUGUGUUUUGUGUGGAUAAGAAAUGCAGAGUGGUACCACCAAUCACCUAAGCCACCAUUCCCCUAACAGACAAUAGGCUCAUGGGGACAGUUCCUGCAAUUUACAGAAAAGCUCUCAAUUGUAGCCCUACGAACAUCAGAUACUGCCAAUGGUGAAGCUUGGGUGCACCGGGCCGGUUUUCCAGCCGUGUGGAAUCAACAUCUCCAGCUGAACUGGGGCCGGGAAUUAUAUAAGACUCCUUAGCAGCAUGAGUGCCAGCCAGUCAUUGCUGUUCUUUUCAUUGCUGAGGAGGACAGUCCUGCCAACAUAACAGUUUGUUCAAUAACAGGAGACAAACAGAAACACAGAGGUGCUAUACAUUCUGAUUGAAAAACAAAUGCUUCUCCCAUCAUUUUGGCGUGGCUCAGAUCAAGAGGAGAAUUUUAAGAAAGGUGAUGAUUGGGCACACACAAGAAGACAUAGAUCACAGGUGUCUAGCCAUAUGAGUAGAUAGGAGUGUCACACUCUGCCAAACUUACUUCAUCAGACGAGCAGAAAGCUUCUCAAGAUCCCGCACUGCACACUAAGACAUAGUCUUUGACUACAACAAGGUGAUGAAAGUACAGAGAGGUCCAAUUGAAAUCAAUUCUGUGCUGCGUCAUUUCUUCAUUCUGGAAGUCGAUGGACGUGAUUUAUCAUGGCAUAAAGUGUGCAGUUUGCCGACUAUCAGCAGUCUUGUUCACCAGCUGUGCAACUUGAGCUGGUAGCUUUAUUGCUUGAAGCCACUGCACAAGAGGGGGGAAGGUGCAGGCUCAUCAAAAAGUCUCAAAAGUUGAAACUAGGAAAAGAAGUUUAUCAAGAGUGUGAAUCUAUUUUGAAAACAAUCGUUACAAUGAUUUGGUUUCCUUUGAAACUUGAUACAUACUAUGAAUUGAGAUGCUUAAAUAAAAAACCGCUAUUCAAAUAUCAGGAAACUGCCUUUUUCAUACUAAAGGGUAAAUGAUGUCGCCAUUUCCUGUAUGUAUUUAAAUAAGAUAUGUCUCCACAAUUAAUAUUUUUAGGGAAUUUUUCUCAACCUAAUGAAUGAGAUUAAAUUGUACAGCGUUAUAUGAGCUUAAUAUGUGUUUUCUCAUUCUUUAAAAUUGGUGAAAAAUUGUCAGAAGAUAAUUAGACCAGUAUCCAUUACUGCAAUCAUACAAUCAAAUAUACAGGGACAAGCCCACUGGGCAUAUAAUAUAAUUAAACCCUGUUUAGGGGCACGAGGCAAACAGAGUUACUUUCAAACGUUAAAGCUGCACUCUCACACUUUAGAUGUUUUGACAACCUUUUUCAUUUUAUGUCUUGGAUUGGAACCAUCCAAUUUUUGCGAAAAAUUAAAUCCCAGAUUUUUCUAUUUAAGUUAAAACAUUGAUGUUUUUCAUGCACUUUUCUUAAACCGUUAGUAACAUUAAUUUUCGAACGGAAAUAUGAAAUCUGCGAUCUGAUCUUUUGUCAGCAAUCUUUUAUCAUUGGUUUGCAGAUAAUUACGCAAAAACUUGCUCAUUCCAAGACAAAAAAAGUUGUGGAAACGGUAUAUCUGUGAGAGUGCAGCUCUAAAUGUUUAAUUGCUUGAUUUUACUACUGUAUUAGAAAUUACAGGGAUUGGGGUAUAUUUUUAGUGUUUUUAUUGCUUGUUUUUGAUUCAUACAGUCAUACUUUAUUCUUCAGGGCACAACUUACAAAUAGACAAAACUGGAAAAUGGUCAUAUCAAAAGGUCAAAGAUAAUGCAAGUUGAACAAUCAUAUUGUUCAUGGCUUGUAUUUUUGGUAUAUUUUGUUGCAUAUUCUAUAGAAAAGUUGAAAGUUAAAAAUAAAUUCAUAGUUGAAAUGAUGGCUUUGAAUGGUAUUGUCAGAUGAGAAACGGCACUAUUAAGAAAUAGGUAUAAUGGUACUUUAUUUAUUUUAAUCAAUUUUAGAUAUUAUGAAAAUUAUUAUCUUAUUUAGUACAUGAGACCUUUUAAACAGUUAUUGACAAUAUAACAAUGUGUAUAUGAAGCUUUAGAUCAACACUUAAAGCUGCACUCUUACAGAUUGUCAGUUUAGACACAAAAUUGUCUCAAAAUCGGCUGAUUUGGUUAUCAUUCCUUUAAUUCAGUCAUAUUAGAUAAUUCACGAUAGAACCAAUCAAAAAUGUUUGGUAAAACUGCCGAAAAGUUCAUUUACAUUAAAUUGUUCGUAAUGCUUUUAGUCAUUGUUCGUAAUGCUUUUAGUCAUAAAACAUCAUUUUUUUAAACAUAAAUAUGAUGAACUGCAAUCUGAUCUUUUUUCAGCAGUCUUAUAUCACUUAAAAUUGGGUCUAGACAUUUCUGCAAAAAAUACUCCAUUAAUAGACGAUCAAUAAAAGAGUACCGGUAGUCAAAACGAUCAAUCGGCGAGAUUGCAGCUUUAAAUACACCUUUUAAGACCGCUGUAAAAUUCCAAUGGUUUGCCUAAAUCUUUAAAGCUAGCAUACUGUUUAAUUGACAACCAUACUUAUUGUUUAAAAGUGUCAUGAUAUCU